RNAcentral lists this transfer RNA (74 nucleotides) under Otolemur garnettii (small-eared galago). It matches the Rfam family "tRNA". Rfam says of the family: Transfer RNA (tRNA) molecules are approximately 80 nucleotides in length. Their secondary structure includes four short double-helical elements and three loops (D, anti-codon, and T loops). The record is from Rfam by way of RNAcentral. Lineage: Eukaryota; Metazoa; Chordata; Mammalia; Primates; Galagidae.
GUGCCUGUGGCUCAAAGGAGUAGGGCACUGGCCCUAUAUGCCAGAGGUGGUGGGUUCAAACCCAGCCCUGGCCA